AGGCCGCGGUAUAUUAACUGUGCAAAGGUAGCAUAAUCAUUAGCUUUUUAAUUGAAGGCUUGUAUGAAGGGUUGGACAAAGAAAAGACUGUCUUUAAUUUUAGAUUUGAAUUUAACUUUUAAGUGAAAAGGCUUAGAUAUAUUUGGGGGACGAUAAGACCCUAUAAAUCUUUAUAUGGUAUUUUGUUGGGGUGACAAGAAUACAAAAUUAACUGUUCUUAGAUUAUACAAAUUUAUUUGGUUAAAGUUAAUAGAUCCUUUAUAGAGAUCAAUAGUUUAAGUUACUUUAGGGAUAACAGCGUUAUUUUUUUUGAGAGUUCUAAUCGAAAAAAAAGUUUGCGACCUCGAUGUUGAAUUAAAGUUUCUCUGUGGUGCAGGGGUUACAGGAGGAAACUUUUAAAAUUUUACGUGAUCUGAG
This 417-nucleotide ribosomal RNA is filed under the name Neonida grandis. RNAcentral describes it as "partial 16S ribosomal RNA". It matches the Rfam family "Bacterial large subunit ribosomal RNA", at positions 1928 to 2609 of the family's 2925-position model. Lineage: Eukaryota; Metazoa; Arthropoda; Malacostraca; Decapoda; Munididae. The record is from RNAcentral.